RNAcentral lists this ribosomal RNA (624 nucleotides) under bacterium SVAL1.17. RNAcentral's name for it is "bacterial SSU rRNA". It matches the Rfam family "Bacterial small subunit ribosomal RNA", at positions 57 to 691 of the family's 1533-position model. The record is from RNAcentral.
GCAGUCGAACGGUGAAAGCGGGAGCUUGCUCCUGCUGGAUCAGUGGCGAACGGGUGAGUAACACGUGAGUAACCUGCCCUUGACUCUGGGAUAAGCGUUGGAAACGACGUCUAAUACCGGAUACGAGCUUCAGCCGCAUGGCUAGGAGCUGGAAAGAAUUUCGGUCAAGGAUGGACUCGCGGCCUAUCAGCUAGUUGGUGAGGUAAUGGCUCACCAAGGCGACGACGGGUAGCCGGCCUGAGAGGGUGACCGGCCACACUGGGACUGAGACACGGCCCAGACUCCUACGGGAGGCAGCAGUGGGGAAUAUUGCACAAUGGGCGCAAGCCUGAUGCAGCAACGCCGCGUGAGGGACGACGGCCUUCGGGUUGUAAACCUCUUUUAGCAGGGAAGAAGCGAAAGUGACGGUACCUGCAGAAAAAGCACCGGCUAACUACGUGCCAGCAGCCGCGGUAAUACGUAGGGUGCAAGCGUUGUCCGGAAUUAUUGGGCGUAAAGAGCUCGUAGGCGGUUUGUCGCGUCUGCUGUGAAAACGCGAGGCUCAACCUCGCGCCUGCAGUGGGUACGGGCAGACUAGAGUGCGGUAGGGGAGAUUGGAAUUCCUGGUGUAGCGGUGGAAUGCGC